This 468-nucleotide ribosomal RNA is filed under the name uncultured bacterium. RNAcentral's name for it is "partial 16S ribosomal RNA". It matches the Rfam family "Bacterial small subunit ribosomal RNA", at positions 28 to 507 of the family's 1533-position model. The record is from RNAcentral.
GACGAACGCUGGCGGUGUGCUUAACACAUGCAAGUCGAACGGUAAGGCCCUUCCGUGGUGGGGCGCUUGAGGGACGGACGGGUAAGUAACGCGUAAGCUACCUGCCUCUGACUUUUAAAUAACGUCAGCAAUCUGUAGUGAAGACCGUGUACGUGCUCGUGCUGCAUGGGGUUGGUAGGAUAUUUUUGGCGGUUGGGGAUGGACGCGCGGCUUAUCAGCUUGUUGGUGGGGGUGUGGCUUACCAAGGCUUUGGCGGGUAGCCGGCCUGAGAGGGUGACCGGCCACAUUGGGACUGAGAUACGGCCCAGACUCCUACGGGAGGCAGCAGUGGGGAAUAUUGCACAAUGGGCGGAAGCCUGAUGCAGCAACGCCGCGUGCGGGAUGACGGCCUUCGGGUUGUAAACCGCUUUCGCCUGUGACGAAGCGUGAGUGACGGUAAUGGGUAAAGAAGCACCGGCUAACUACGUG